UGAACAAACCUCGAGCUGUAGAUUGGUAUAAUUUUUAAGCUGAAGUUUGAUCUUAAGUUCCCCUCGAACAAAACAGUAAGUGAACUUCUUAAACUUUUUUUCUUCUGUAGGUGCCAAUCUAAGGUAGGGAAAAUAGCUUCUUCUUCAGAUGAUUUCACAGUGAGAAAGGCAAUCAUUGUAGAAUGCCUUUUUCACUCUUUUCUUUUUGCUCGUGAAAUGCAUCUAGCAACAUCUUUAAUUUGACUAAUGCAGGUGUGCUUUGGGAAUAUCGAAAAUAAUGGUUACUCAACAUCUAGAUCUCCAUCUUCCCUCUGAAGGAGAGUAAUGGCAUAGUCGACAAUGGAAUGCAAAAAGCUUUUCGGAUGAAGAACCAGUUGGACAUAAAAAAGGCUCUAGAAGUUCAUCAUCAAAUGAAGAAUUGCACCUAAUUAACUCAACCAAUUAUCAUAAAAUGCCUCAGUUUGGUACUCCUAAAUCCCAAAAGAAUAUAUUCUCAUCAUAUUUAUUUAUUCAAAGACAAAUAUGCCCUUAAAGAGAGGAUGACAUGCAUAAAGGGAGUUAAGUGAAAAAUAUCUUCAAGAAAAGAAUUGCAAUGUCAAUUUAUGGUGGUAGAAAGUAAGAACAGUCUGGGGCAAACGUAUUGUCAAUUUACUGGGUUGGAUGGUUCUUUGGUGGCAUUAGAAAGCGAUGGUAGUUGGCGAUCAUAUUUUGUUGAUGGAAUGGUGUGAUGCACAACAUGAACAAUAGUCAUUGAUGCUGGUUGAUUGAAGAUAUUGAGUAGUGGAGACCCUGUUUGUUUUUUGUGUAGGCGUUGGUGGUUGGUGGUAAGCAAUGUGGUGCUUGUCGUUGGGGAUGCAAAUACCAACUCUUGGGUGGAAAGGAGAGGGAGCACCUUGUGCAUUUGUCUCUUUAGGGGUUGUUUGGAUACCGGAUAGCAUCAGGGGAUGAGUUUUAGAGGGGGAUAACUUUUAACUUUGUUUGGAUACUUUUUAGAAUUGAUGGAUAAGGGUGGGGAUAAGGAAGAAAAUAUAUAUAUAGAGAAACAAAAUGUAAAAUAUCUAGAUAUUAAAAAUAUAUAUAUACAUAUAUAAAUAACUAAUAUAAAAAUAUUCAUACAUAUAAUAUAUAUAAACAUAUAUAUAUAUAUACACGGUAAAGAGAGAGAGACGCAUGCGGAAUAAUUCACUGUCUCGUUCCUGACCGGUCUAGCAUCGUUCUCGACUGGUCGGGAACGGUAAAUCUGCAAUCCUCCCUGAUAACUUUUGGGGAGGGUGAGGGCCACCCAAAAAUUAUUAGCCUUUAUCCGCCUGCUGGGGGAAAGGUUAUCCGGUGAAAAAGUUAUCCGGGAGACAUUUCUCCAUCCAAACGUGGAUAGAGGGAAAAAGAAGGGGAAAAAGUUAUCCAGAUGGGCUAUCCUCCAGCCAAACAGCCUCUUAAGGACAUAUUUAUAUUUGAAAUUUGAAUAUAUAAAUGUGUUAGGACAAAAUGGGACUUAUAAAAAAUAAAAAUGAUUAGGACGAUACCUAUAAUUAAAAGGGAGGUCACUGUU
This 1549-nucleotide long non-coding RNA is filed under the name Actinidia chinensis (golden kiwifruit). Its description in RNAcentral is "long non-coding RNA (ACHI_LNC003339)". Lineage: Eukaryota; Viridiplantae; Streptophyta; Magnoliopsida; Ericales; Actinidiaceae. The record is from RNAcentral.